GUGAGGAAUAUUGGUCAAUGGGCGCGAGCCUGAACCAGCCAAGUAGCGUGCAGGACGACUGCCCUAUGGGUUGUAAACUGCUUUUAUGCGGGGAUAAAGUGACGUACGUGUACGUUUUUGCAGGUACCGCAUGAAUAAGGACCGGCUAAUUCCGUGCCAGCAGCCGCGGUAAUACGGAAGGUCCUGGCGUUAUCCGGAUUUAUUGGGUUUAAAGGGAGCGCAGGCGGGAGGUUAAGCGUGACGUGAAAUGUAGCCGCUCAACGGCUGAACUGCGUCGCGAACUGGCUUUCUUGAGUGAGUACGACGUCAGCGGAAUUCGUGGUGUAGCGGUGAAAUGCUUAGAUAUCACGAAGAACCCCGAUUGCGAAGGCAGCUGACGAGUCCUUUACUGACGCUAAAGCUCGAAGGUGCGGGUAUCGAACAGG
This 425-nucleotide ribosomal RNA is filed under the name uncultured rumen bacterium. RNAcentral describes it as "bacterial SSU rRNA". It matches the Rfam family "Bacterial small subunit ribosomal RNA", at positions 354 to 776 of the family's 1533-position model. The record is from RNAcentral.